CAUGCGCAUGAAGGCACCGUUGACGUCCAAACGAACGAAGCAGGUUUUGAAUUCAACACAUCGUUGAUGGUGGCAGCAGCAUGAGAGUGCUCUUCUGAUAAACUGCAUUGUGUUGGCUUUAGGCUAUUCCGUGUGCAGUAAUUAGCAUAAUUAGCAUUGCCGACACAGUAGGUCUAGGUCUAUUUCUUCAUUUUAAAGUCAGAAAUGUUAUGACUUAUUGCCUUGUAACUAGCACUAGCAUGGAAACUGAUGAUUAGCAACUUCUCAAGAUCUACAUGCAUGAGACUGCAAUGUGUGCAGCCUAUUGCUAUAACAGGCAACGUUAGAAGUUAAACAUUUGUAUCUGUCUCUGACAUUAACACAACCCUAGUCGGACUUUAUUAAUGAGAACUAAUGAUAUCCGGUGCAUUAUAUUUAUUAUUCUUUGCACCACGUGUGUGCCUCUCGAGCCUUCAGCCGUUCAUCAUUCAUUGGCUGUAUAUGUGUGACAAAUAACUCUUCUAGGUUAUUGAAGACAUACAGUACUUGCUAUGUGAACACCACACUGCAGGGGUUGGUGUUGGAGCCUUCAGCAAGAUCAGGUAGUUAACAAACACACACACACUUACACUUCAUGGAAUUCAGAGGCAUUGAAGUUGGGGUUAGGGCUUGAAGUUGGGGUCAGGGCUUCUUUUUCCCUCUGGUUAACUGAGGACAGACUUGCUAUGUGAACAACGCUGCAAAGCAUUCUUGACCUGCAACACAGGAGGGGUUGGUGUUGGAGCCUUCAGCCCUGCAGAUCAGGUAACUGAGGACAGACCUGCAAUGUGAACAACACACUGCAGUGCAUCUUUGACCUGCAACACAUCUGUAGGUGCAGGAGGGGUUGGUGUUGGAGCCUUCAGCCCUGCAGAUCAGUUACUGAGGAGGACAGACCUGCUAUGUGAACAGCGCUGCAGUGCAUCUUUGACCUGCAACACAUCUGUAGGUGCAGAAAGGGUUGGUGUUGGAGCCUUCAGCCCUGCAGAUCAGGAGGACAAACCAGCUAUGUGAACAUCAUCUUCUUCAACCUGCAGCACAUCUGUAGUUGCAGGAGGGGUUGGUGUUGGAGCAUUCAGGAACACUGGAACACUCGAAAACAGAAACAGGAGGAGUUGGUGUUUGAGCCUUCAGCACUGCAGAUCAGAAAGUUUACGAUCCUCGGACAGACCAUUAUAUGUCGCACAUCUGUAUCUUCAGGAGGGGCUGGUGUUGGAGCCUGUUUCCUUAUCGCUUUAGGAUACUGAGAACAGACCUGCUAUGUGAACGCCACACUACAGUACCUCUUUAACCUGCAACACCAGCGGCAGGAGCGGUUGGUGUUGGAGCCUUCAGCCCUGCAGAUCAGGUAACUGAGGACAGACCUGCUAUGUGAACACAACACGCUGCAGUGCUUCUUUGACCUGCAACACAUCUGUACAGUAGGUGCAGGAGGGGUUGGUGUUGGAGCCUUCAGCCCUGCAGAUCAGGUAGGUAUCAUUAACACACACACACACACACACACUCUUCGUCACUCACUGGUUGUACAUGUAUGCCAUUUAACUUGUUUUCCUUAUCAAUAACACACACACGAACUCCAUCAUUCAAUGGUUGUUCAUGUGACAUAACUCUUAUUUCCUAAUCCCUCUAAGUUACUGAGGAGGACAGACCUGCUAUGUGAACAUCAUCUUCAACCUGCAGCACAUCUGUAGUUGCAGGAGGUAGUUGGUGUUGAAGCCUUCAGGAACACAGGAACACUCGGGAAUUCACAGGGGAGCUGGACAAAGGGUUUCUGUUGAAAUAGAAUGUUUAUACAAAAUAAAAUAGAACUAUUCAGAGACAACAUUCUCGUCACAAACGUUCCCCACUCUUUCCCGAAUUUAAACACACCUCUGUAUCAAACAGCAGGAGGAGUUGGUGUUGGAGCCUUCAGCCCUACAGAUCAGGUAACUGAGGACAGACCUGCUAUGUGAACAACACGCUGCAGUGCAUCUUUGAACUGCAACACAUCUGUAGCAGGAGGGGUUGGUGUUGGAGCUGUCAUGAACAAUUUGUUCCGGCUUGCGAAACGGGUGACGUAAUAAUGACGUUCCAAUCUCACUUUUAAUGUUUAUCAUAGAAUCCUGGCGUCGUUGCUAGGAUGGUUGCUAUAAGCACUCAGCUCAUGGAUGACAGAACUGUCAUUUACCUCAGGAGCUUCAGAGACCAGUCAUCGCAACAAACAAGUGCACCUACAAUAAGGAGAAGUACAGAGAGGGGUGUACCGAGUCGACCAAAAUAGCCAUCAAAAAGGCAGCGAAGAGCUACUGUCUUCAAGGCAAGCAGAUCAGGUUACUGAGGACAGACCUGCUAUGUGAACAUCAUGCUGCAGUGCCUGUUUAACCUGCAACACAUCUGUAGGUGUUCGAACCUUCAGCACCUUGUAGCUGAGAGGCUACAAAAGGCAUGAGCUCACUUGCGGCUGCGGGAGAUGAGGCCAGCAGAGCUGAUGGAGCAGAAGUCUUGCAUUGUGCUGCACAACCAGGAACUUAAGGGGAACAUGCCGAAUGUGAGAACACACACAUUAGCCCAGCUUGAACUUGAGGCUGAAGAGAUGUAGGCAGCAGUGCUGAUGGAAGUACUGAAGUCCUGAGGAGGUUCCUGAAAAAGAGGC
This is a long non-coding RNA of Alosa sapidissima (American shad), 2650 nucleotides long. RefSeq lists it as uncharacterized. NCBI's taxonomy places the organism in Eukaryota, Metazoa, Chordata, Actinopteri, Clupeiformes, Clupeidae. The transcript is spliced from 12 exons. The record is from RefSeq and is a predicted model, not a curated record.